AGAGAUACGAGCUUGAAACUCAAAGAAUUUGGCGGUGUUAUAUUCUUGUUAGAGGAAUCUGUCCCGUAAUUGAUAAUACACGAUUUGUUUUACUUUAUUUGAUAAUUUGUAUAUCGCCGUCAUAAGAUUAUUUUUUAUUGAGAAUUAAAAUUUUCUUCUUUUCUUAUUAGGAAAUAUGUCAGGUCAAGGUGCAGUUAAUAAUAAUGGGGAGAUGGAUUACAAUUAAUUUAUUAAUAUGGAUGUGAAUUGUAAGGAUAUAGUUGAAGGUGGAUUUGUUUGUAAAUUUAUAUAAUAUAUAUAUUGAUAUAAGCUCUGUAAUGUGUACAUAUCGCCCGUCGCUCUCGUUAUAAUAUGAG
Molecule: ribosomal RNA, 356 nt
Filed under: Rumea guyanensis
Lineage: Eukaryota; Metazoa; Arthropoda; Insecta; Orthoptera; Phalangopsidae
Description: partial 12S ribosomal RNA
Source: RNAcentral